GAUGAACGCUGGCGGCGUGCCUAAUACAUGCAAGUCGAGCGAACGGACGAGAAGCUUGCUCCUCUGAUGUUAGCGGCGGAAGGGUGAGUAACAAGUGGAUAACCUACCUAUAAGAAUGGGAUAACUUCGGGAAAUCGGAGCUCAUACCGGAUAAUAUUUUGAACCGCAUGGUUCAAAAGUGAAAGACGGUCUUGCUGUCACUUAUAGAUGGAUCCGCGCUGCAUUAGCUAGUUGGUAAGGUAACGGCUUACCAAGGCAACGAUGCAUAGCCGACCUGAGAGGGUGAUCGGCCACACUGGAACUGAGACACGGUCCAGACUCCUACGGGAGGCAGCAGUAGGGAAUCUUCCGCAAUGGGCGAAAGCCUGACGGAGCAACGCCGCGUGAAUGAUGAAGGUCUUCGGAUCGUAAAACUCUGUUAUUAGGAAAGAACAUAUUUGUAAGUAACUGUGCGCAUCUUGACGGUACCGAAUCAAAAAGCCACGGCUAACUACGUG
This 497-nucleotide ribosomal RNA is filed under the name uncultured bacterium. RNAcentral describes it as "partial 16S ribosomal RNA". It matches the Rfam family "Bacterial small subunit ribosomal RNA", at positions 28 to 507 of the family's 1533-position model. The record is from RNAcentral.